AAUACAUCACAACACUGACCCACAUUUACCACCAUAACAAGACAACAGUUCGGUUACAAUGACCUUUAGCAAGCGCGCACGUACUGAAUAUUGGAUAACAAGGGGGAGACAGAAUUACUGAAGUAGUACAUGCAACGGACUUUGUAAAUAACAAGUCUCCUACAACAGAUCCAGGGAUAGAGUGAGACAAUAUCUUAAAUUGAGAUACUUGCGUGGCAAAGACGUUAAAAUCAAAGAUUGGACUUAAGUGUAAAGGACAUACACGGGACUUAGCUUAAUUACAGCACCCAGACUGUGAUCAGUAAAGAAACAUAGAACAGCAUGUGAACAAAGAUGUGUAUGCUGACAAUUAAUGAUAAUUACUACACAAGAAAAUGUAUGCUAUUUCAAUGUACAUCAUGUGAUAUUGGUUUUGUGUUUAUACACAUUAUUUGUUUCCUUUAUCAUUUAUAUGAAAUUACUAUAAUAUACAGUGUCUUCACUUAUGAUGAAAUAUAUAGAUAUACUGACAAAUCAUUAUUAAUAACACUUUGUAAGUGAUCAACAUCAAAAUCUAAAAGACAGACAGACAGUCGGGCUGGUAGCUGCAUUUUUAAAAAUCGUCCGUAGGAAGUUUUACUUGCAUUUGGCGAGCGGGCAAGUACUUUCUGCAGCCCUGGAAAAUGUAUGAUUUAUAGAAAAUAAGAUUAAUGCUAGACAAACGUAAUUAAUUGUUUUGAGUUUCAAUAUGAAAUUAGUUCCAACUUUAUUGAAUAAAACAUUCUUCUUUAA
This is a long non-coding RNA of Gigantopelta aegis, 771 nucleotides long. RefSeq lists it as uncharacterized. Lineage: Eukaryota; Metazoa; Mollusca; Gastropoda; Neomphalida; Peltospiridae. The record is from RefSeq and is a predicted model, not a curated record. The transcript is spliced from 2 exons.